AUGGCGUCGGAGAUCGAGGUCCUCGAGGACACGACCGCCGCCGCGGCCGCGGUCGCCUCCACUGCCGGGGCCGGCGGGGCGGCCGCCGCGGGGGAGGCGGAGGCGGCGGAGGAGUCGCUCAAGGACGACGUCUACACGGGCGCCGCCUACGGGGACCUCGAGAAGCUGCACCGCCUCGUCGAGCUGGAGGGCCGGUCGGUGACGGAGCCCGACGGCCUCGGCUACCACGCGCUCCAGUGGGCCGCCCUCAACAACCGCGUCGCCGCCGCGCAGUACAUCCUCGAGCACGGAGCAGAUGUAAAUGCUAUAGACCAUACAGGGCAAACAGCGCUUCACUGGAGUGCAGUGCGUGGUCAUAUUCAAGUUGCAGAACUACUUCUAAAAGAAGGAGCUAAGGUUGAUGCUGCUGAUUUAUAUGGAUAUCAGACCACACAUGUUGCAGCACAGUAUGGUCAGACAGCAUUUCUUUAUCACAUUAUUUCAAAAUGGAAUGCUGAUCCUGAUGUCCCUGACAAUGAUGGCAGAAGUCCUCUUCACUGGGCUGCUUAUAAGGGAUUUGCAGACUCCAUACGCCUCCUUUUGUUUUUGGGCGCUUAUAGGGGGCGGCAAGAUAAAGAAGGUUGUACUCCUUUACAUUGGGCUGCCAUUCGGGGGAAUAUGGAGUCAUGCACUGUGUUAGUUCAGGUUGGUAAGAAGGAGGACCUUAUGGUGCAAGACAAUACUGGGUUAACUCCGGCCCAACUUGCUGCUGAUAAGAGUCACCGGCAAGUUGCAUUUUACCUUGGGAAUGCUAGAAAAGUGCAUGAAAGAGGAUGUGGUGGGAACAAUUAUUUUGGGAAACUAUCAAAAUUAGGACUCGCCCCUGUGCUUUGGUGUAUUAUUAUUGGCUUAAUUGUUGCAUAUAUACAUUCAGUUAUCGCAGGACAAUACAACUCGAAUAUGACACUACUAUUUGGUUUCUUUUCAUGGUUGGGAGUUUUCCUUGCAAUUGCUGGACUAGUUAUGUUUUAUAGAUGUAGCAGGAAAGAUCCUGGUUACAUCAACAAGAAUAUAAGAGACUCGCAAACUCAAAGAGAUGAUGAACCUUUGUUGAAGAGGGGUCUAGAUAACCCGGAACUUCUGGCUGGCAAUUGGUCUCAACUAUGUAUUACUUGCAAAAUUGUGAGGCCCAUACGCUCAAAACACUGCUCUACAUGUGAUCGCUGUGUUGAGCAAUUUGAUCAUCACUGCCCUUGGGUUUCAAAUUGCAUCGGAAAGAAGAACAAAUGGGAGUUCUUUAUGUUUCUUAUCCUAGAAGUUUCUGCGAUGAUCAUUACUGCUGCAACGGCUGUCAUAAGAGUAGCAGGUGAUCCAGGCUCUCCAGCAUCGUUUGGUGGAUGGCUUAACUAUUCAGCUACGAACCAUCCUUGGGUGGUGUCUUUUGUUAUAAUGGAUCUCUUCCUUUUCUUCGGCGUUAUAACUCUAACAGUAGUUCAAGCAUCACAGAUAUCUGGGAAUAUAACAACAAAUGAGAUGGCAAAUGCCAUGAGGUACAGUUAUCUCAGAGGCCCAGGUGGUCGGUUCAGAAAUCCAUUUGAUCACGGGGUGAGGAAGAAUUGUUCUGACUUCUUCCUGAAGGGGUACAAUGAGGAUAUUGAGAAGGUAGAACAGACGUCGCAUCCUGACGAGGAAAUGGCAAUUAUUCACAUGACAAGAAGUGCAGUCUCGCAGAACGGUGAGAGCGUGCCACUUCAUGCUAAUGGUGCUGACCAUGUUUGUGCUGACUCACAAACCAGCUCAAAAUCGCAUCGCCAAGUUAGUUCGUCUAAAUGCUGCGAUCACAGUAAGAAGACUGACAAAACCCCUUUGGGCCUAGGGUUGGGCCUUGGACGAAACAAUCCCUCUAGCCGUUAUGCACGGAAUCUUCUUCCCUUAUGA
This 1917-nucleotide ribosomal RNA is filed under the name Triticum aestivum (bread wheat). RNAcentral's name for it is "partial small subunit ribosomal RNA". The record is from RNAcentral. Lineage: Eukaryota; Viridiplantae; Streptophyta; Magnoliopsida; Poales; Poaceae.